AACGAACGCUGGCGGCAUGCCUAACACAUGCAAGUCGAACGAGACCUUCGGGUCUAGUGGCGCACGGGUGCGUAACGCGUGGGAACCUGCCCUUAGGUUCGGAAUAACUCCCCGAAAGGGGUGCUAAUACCGGAUAAUGUCUUCGGACCAAAGAUUUAUCGCCUUUGGAUGGGCCCGCGUUGGAUUAGCUAGUUGGUAGGGUAAAAGCCUACCAAGGCGACGAUCCAUAGCUGGUCUGAGAGGAUGAUCAGCCACACUGGGACUGAGACACGGCCCAGACUCCUACGGGAGGCAGCAGUGGGGAAUAUUGGACAAUGGACGAAAGCCUGAUCCAGCAAUGCCGCGUGAGUGAUGAAGGCCUUAGGGUUGUAAAGCUCUUUUACCCGGGAUGAUAAUGACAGUACCGGGAGAAUAAGCUCCGGCUAACUCCGUGC
RNAcentral lists this ribosomal RNA (434 nucleotides) under uncultured bacterium. Its description in RNAcentral is "partial 16S ribosomal RNA". It matches the Rfam family "Bacterial small subunit ribosomal RNA", at positions 29 to 508 of the family's 1533-position model. The record is from RNAcentral.